GUGAAUCAUCGAAUCUUUGAACGCAAAUUGCACUCUCUUGGGAGAGUAUGCCUGUUCGAGGGUCAGUAUUAAUAAAAAUCGGAGUGGUGGUGCUUGGUGACGUUCCGGAGUGUGGGUCAUCUUAAUAUCCUUUAGGCUUUAAGUGGCUUAAAAUUGACUUUUUUUGCGCAUUUUCGAUGUAAAUUAAUUAUUUUUUUUAUUCGUUUGUAUUAAUGCUACAAAUUCUAUUAGAUGCGAUCAUAUCGUGUGGUUU
RNAcentral lists this unclassified non-coding RNA (253 nucleotides) under Glomeraceae sp. RNAcentral describes it as "partial contains 5.8S ribosomal RNA and internal transcribed spacer 2". The stretch from base 1 to 65 matches the Rfam family "5.8S ribosomal RNA", at positions 84 to 154 of the family's 154-position model. Lineage: Eukaryota; Fungi; Glomeromycota; Glomeromycetes; Glomerales; Glomeraceae. The record is from RNAcentral.